GUUUGCUGAUUUGCAUGUGCCCAGAGCCCAGCCCACUGUUCAGUUGACUUCUUUAUAGUCAGGUCUCACCCUGUGCUGGAGUCAGCUUCACACAUGUUACACAGAAACAUGAAUGUGCCCACUCAACUCCUUGGGUUGCUGAUACUCUGGCUUACAGGUGGUAAAUGUGACAUCCAGAUGACACAGUCUCCUGCCUCCCUGUCUGCAUCUCUGGAAGAAAUUGUCACGAUCACAUGCCAGGCAAGCCAGGACAUUGGUAAUUGGUUAGCAUGGUAUCAGCAGAAACCAGGGAAAUCUCCUCAGCUCCUGAUCUAUGGUGCAACCAGCUUGGCAGAUGGGGUCCCAUCAAGGUUCAGCGGCAGUAGAUCUGGCACACAGUAUUCUCUCAAGAUCAGCAGACUACAGGUUGAAGAUCCUGGAAUCUAUUACUGUCUACAGGGUUAUAGUGCUCCUCCCACAGUGAUUCAGGCCAUGACAUAA
This is a non-coding RNA of Rattus norvegicus (Norway rat), 480 nucleotides long. NCBI's taxonomy places the organism in Eukaryota, Metazoa, Chordata, Mammalia, Rodentia, Muridae. The record is from the annotation of a RefSeq genome assembly.